Molecule: ribosomal RNA, 431 nt
Filed under: uncultured bacterium
Lineage: Bacteria
Description: partial 16S ribosomal RNA
Rfam family: Bacterial small subunit ribosomal RNA
Source: RNAcentral
CCUACGGGUGGCAGCAGUCGAGAAUUUUUCUCAAUGGGGGAAACCCUGAAGGAGCGACGCCGCGUGGAGGAUGAAGGUCUUCGGAUUGUAAACUCCUGUCAUUUGGGAACUAGUACCAGAAGAGGAAGAGACGGCUAACUCUGUGCCAGCAGCCGCGGUAAUACAGAGGUCUCAAGCGUUGUUCGGAUUCAUUGGGCGUAAAGGGUGCGUAGGUGGCGGGGUAAGUCAGGUGCGAAAUCUCGGGGCUCAACCUCGAAACUGCACUUGAUACUGCCUUGCUAGAGUAUUGGAGAGGAGAUUGGAAUUUACGGUGUAGCAGUGAAAUGCGUAGAUAUCGUAAGGAAGACCAGUGGCGAAGGCGAAUCUCUGGACAUACUGACACUGAGGCACGAAGGCCAGGGGAGCAAACGGGAUUAGAUACCCUUGUAGUC